GCUCCUACCGAUUGGAUGACUCGGUGAAAUCACCAGAUCCUGCGGGAAAAGGUGCUUAAAUCACGUUAUCUAGAGGAAGGAGAAGUCGUAACAAGGUAACG
RNAcentral lists this ribosomal RNA (101 nucleotides) under Pentatrichomonas hominis. RNAcentral describes it as "partial 18S ribosomal RNA". It matches the Rfam family "Eukaryotic small subunit ribosomal RNA", at positions 1678 to 1804 of the family's 1831-position model. Lineage: Eukaryota; Parabasalia; Trichomonadida; Trichomonadidae. The record is from RNAcentral.